CUGGUUUAGGAUAACAGGUAGACAUUCCUACAAUAUAACCUGCCUCAUUCCCUGCUUCCAUUCCUUCCCCAUAAAUUGGUACUGAGGUGCAUAUGACAAGCCCAUCCUGAAUUCACAAUAUAAGACACUAGCAGUUUGGCAUGAAAGGUUACUCUUACCCCACCCCCACCCUGCCAAACCUCAUUGAGUGUAACGAUACAAGAUGUGCAGUUAUGAACAGAAAGUAUCCUAGAAAUCUUGAGGAACAUCAGAAUAAAAUCUUGACAAUAAUUUUGGACCAAACAGGUCAUAAAUAUCUUGUGGAAUCAACUCUGAAGACAUAAAGACAGUGAGGUGCAAUAAAUUGUAGGCCAGGAACAAAAAUUAUAAUUGAUAGGAAAUGUAUGAUUACAUAGCAUUAAGAAGUGAACCAAUCUGUUCCACAGAAAUAAAACCAUGUCUCGAAGGAGAAGCAGACAAAGCACUUAGAAUCUGUUGGUCAAAAAGGGGAAUGCGUGAUAGGAAAUGUAUGGUUGCAUAGCAUUACUAAGUGAACCAAUCUAUGACAUGGACAUAAGGCGAUGUCUCGAAGGAGAAGCAGACAGAGAACUUAGAAUAUGUUGGUCAAAAGGGGGAAUGCUAGUAUAUUACAAUCUUCUCUAUUAGAAUUAUGUAUGAAUCAAAUUCAUCCUAUGGCAAUCAAUCAAAUAGCUCGACAAUCUAUGCACUUGGAAACAUAGAGCCAGAGGUGAUCAGAGUCAUUGGAAAAUCCACUUGGCAAUGCAAUCAGUCUGUGAAUCUGGAAGGGCUCUGUCUCCAAUUUAUACAAAACAAUCAGCAUAAGAUGUCAUCAUGCCAAUGUCUCAUGAUUCUAGAACUACAUAUCCUGAAAUUUCCACAAUUCACAUUCAGUGCAAUAAGCAAUGCAUUCAUGACCUAAAAAGAAUUGCCUAAAAUGCUAUAGACAUCAAGAUGAAAGCACUACGAACCAGUAAUUUAAGAUUGAAAUCACCUUUCCAUAAAGAGUUGAGCCAACCCCGCCAGUGUGCUGAUGUGCAACACCAUAGAUGACAUAACCACCAGUUGGGAUGAUUAGGCUUGUCCUUUUUAUGUCGAUGCAGUCAUCACUGGUUAAAGCAGUUGUGCUGCACGCCUCAACUUCAUACUCAAUCUGCUCCAUGUUCAUAUAUUUAACAUAAUUAAUCCGCCAUAAAACAGAGAUUGAUGACAUUCUUGUGGAAAAAUAAAUACUUCUCAACCAAUUCUUUUCUGAAAAUUAUGAAUAAAUGUAACAAUAGACAUAUCCACCACCACGCUUGAAGGGCAAGACCUUACAAAUGCUACAACCCUUAUUACAUAGUGCAUGUUUAUGGACCAUAAGAUAUGGCAUCGAAUUCAAAUAAUCUUCAGACCUUUACAAUAAGACUAAGAUGAUUCACUGAGAUUUUCGAAAGCCAUGGCUGGUUCCACAUAUGGUAUAACAGCUUAAGUUGGUGCUUUUGCAUUAGAGUUACGGAGGAGAACUGUUUUUGAGAAAAUUUCUUCUACUUUGCAUGAUGCAUCUAUCAUGGCUUUCACUACUGUGCAAUUAAUUUUGUGAUAUUAGGGGGGAAAAUGCAUAUUGUUUGAUACAUGGGAACCAUAAAAAUACGGCGGGUCCACCAUUGUCUGCAUAGGUUUUAAGGGGCAGUCAAAACAUUGCUAAGUUUAUUUUUCUAGUACUUUUUUCAACUAAGUGCAACAGAUUAUUAAGUGUAUAAUCUCAUAACUAGUACAAUCACGGUUUUCCAGGUCCUUAUAACAUAAUGCCUAAUUCAUUUUCAUACAAAAUCCUGACACUAUCAAAUGAAGGCAUUACCUGGCAACCACUCUCUGGACUUAAUAUUGUUGAAUCAUUAAGCCGUUUCCCAGUAUCAGUGACAUCAAGUAUAAAGAUCUUCACAGGGAUGACGCUACUAUCCCAAUCAACCCACUUCACUGUAUACCGCAAGUAGAGGCUCCUCCGCACAUCCUCAUAACCAGGUCUUACUUUGCAUUGUGUAUGGUCAUAGCAACAAAAUAAACCUCCUUUAUAAUCUGGUCUGAUAGGACGACCAAAUUCAUCUACUGUGAUGUUAUAUAUAUCACACUUGCAUUCAGUGCAACCCAACCUAUCUUCAACACCUCUUGUAUCGAUAGCAUGCACAUUAAGAAGCCAUCUCUCUUCAUAUCCUGCAGGAAUUUCAUCAGGAUUGCCAAUUUCUAUACCAUAAGGAUCCGAAACAUGUGUAGCUGUUCCUCGUGUUUCAGAUCCAAGGCCAAAAUGUUGUCUAAGAAUACCACCCUGACAUAUUCCACUGUUUUUUGCUAGCAUAACAUCUGAGUUGCCAUUGUUCUCACUAUUUGCCACAUCUAGACGAUGAUAGUAUUUUUCAACAAGCCAGUGGUGAAGAUAAGUUUCAUGAAGGGGUACAGAAUUUCCUGCCUCAUCAAUUACUUCAGCAUUAAAGCUCUUGACAGCAAUAUGACCUCUUGGGAAAUCAAUAUUGAAGUACCACCUAUUCUCCACUGAUCCUGGUGCCAAUACGAACUUAGGGGAUAGGAAAGUUGCAGAUUUCAUGUUACUUCCAUGUUCCAGUAAGGCUUGUGAAUAUGAUAUGUCAAAUUCUAGGAACAAUUUUGAUAGCAAAAGCAAGCUUCCCAAAGAAUAGUAUGACAUAACACCUGCCGAUUCCAAUAUCUUAGGUUGAAAACCGUGAAAUAUUACUUGCAUAGAAUAAAUUCCACAUUAUCAAUAAACAGAUAGCCAUCGCAAAGAUAAGCAAGCAAAAAAAUAUUGAUAUCCGAUACACAGGACAAUCACUUUCAAGAAUUCCUUUGUCUUUAGAAUGUAAUCUUUCCUGGAUUUUGUUUCCAACCAUAGGAGAGCUUUCAAUAAAUUGCUUAUUUCCUCUUUUAAAUCCUACCAAUAAAUUGCUUUUGAUAUUCUUUUCAAGUGUAAGGAAAAAGAAAAACAUUUUUGAUGUACCUGAAAUCAACAAUUUACAAGGAGAUGAAUGUUUAAGACUUGAGCAAUUCAAGAAAUUGUAUAAUAAAAAGGGUCAGAUAGAAUUGAUGGUGAAUUUUAAUUUUACAUCUAGAAGAACAGGAGCAGGGACAAAGACGAUAAGCCUAUCAAGAACAAACAAUUGCUUUACCGUUUCGACUUCAAUAAAGAAAACUGAAAUUGACAAUGGAAGAGACCAAGGUUCAUAAAUUAAAAGCAUACCCAGAAAUUAUUGAAAUUCCCGAAUUUCAGAGGACCCAAUUUCAAAUGAAAAAAGGAGAGCUUUUAUGUGUUGCUUUUUUCUUCCAACUGGAUAAGGGAGAAGGGGAAAGUUAUAUGCACAUAAGAGUACACGAGAUGUCGCUUAGUGAUUGCUUUGGCAAAUUACCUGUAGAAGGCUUGAACUUGGAGUCCAGGUCAGGCCAAUCUUGUUUCUUGGUUACUAACGAAACUGACCGAAGUGAGGCUUCUGAGCUCGUUAGGUGUAAGAUUUUUCCACUGUAAAAGGAAGGACUCGCAGAAUGCCACGUAGAGUAUUUUGAUCUGUUAGGACAUUAUUUCAUAGAAAAUUUUGCCUUUGUUAGAGUGACAGUUGAAUUUGCUCUUCAGUAUAUAUCAUAUCGUCCAAUUUUGACUGCUAAUCUCAUUACUUCGGUUCGAGAAGAAGUAAUACAACUGAUCCACAUGUGGAAUAUAAGGAAUAUGAACAUAAACUCAAUAGAAACAUGUAAAUUAAUCCAAGCACCUACAAAACUCAUUUGGAUAUCACUCUAGAGUUUAUUUUACACCAAGAAAGAAACAAGAAGUCUAAAUGCAUUUUUGUGCAAACAAAUAUGGUAUAUGACAGUAAUCAGAGCCAAGUAAAACCAAGAACUAAGACAGACAUUCAUUGCGCAGAGACUUCAUGGAAACUGAAUUUUCAUGGCAGAAUUGAUUCGUAUCCAUUCUCUAUCCUCUUUCUUAGCUGAGAUCGUUUGGUUAUAGCUACGGUUAAGGCUAGUCCCAACAACGCUACAGCUGCUACUCCCCAGGAAUAAUGAAUCGGUGAUUUCUUGUAUUCCUGCAUCUGCAAACAGCCAAUCACAUAUGAACUCAGACUAAAUCUGAAAGACUUUUAAGCCAUUGGUAAUGCAAAACUUUCUUGUUUCUUUCCCUUUUUGCAAAUAAACUAAUCCCGAUGAACAAUAAAAAUUUCAUUACUGAAGUUCUAAAUACACUAUAACACAACUAUUUGUUUGGCAAAAAAGCAUAUUGCAGUGACUAAUUAUCUUCCUUAGCUUUGACUAGAUCUUGGGGGUUUUCCCUUCUUUUUCCAACUCACAUGAGCAUGAUUAGUUUGCAAGGGCGUCACGGGAUUUGGUGUUUGAUCUGCAACCAGUAUGUAGAAGAGCCCCAUAACUCCAGUGUGCGUUUGUGUACUGCUAUAAUUUGAUUCCAAAGUUAAAUUCUCCCCAUCUGCAAUCUUGACAGAACCUGGUUUAGGAUAACAGGUGGACAUUCCUACUAUAUAACCAGCUUCAUUUCCUGCUUCUUUUCCUUCUCCAUAAAUGGGAAGUGAAGUGCAUAUAACACGUCCAUCCUGAAUUCAACAACAAAUAAAUAAUCGAUUUCAGAUACUAAAUUGUUGAAAUUCUUGCAAGAGAUGCAUAUUAAAUGUCUGACAAUCCAAAAGAUUUGCAUGCGGUGCGGAUUCAGUUAAAGGCUUGUGAGAGGUUCUCAUACACAUUGUGAAGGCUUCUAAGUUCGGAAAGAACAUCAAUGAAAGAGUAUAGUAAAAGUAUUUAGUCCAGCAUUAUCCCAUGAAAUCUAGCAGAAAGUGGAAAAUAAGCACCAAGCUCCAAAGAUGAGCACAAUAUUACAGACUAGAAACUUCUAGGGCUGAAGUAUAAAC
RNAcentral lists this long non-coding RNA (4895 nucleotides) under Ricinus communis (castor bean). RNAcentral describes it as "long non-coding RNA (RCOM_LNC000129)". Lineage: Eukaryota; Viridiplantae; Streptophyta; Magnoliopsida; Malpighiales; Euphorbiaceae. The record is from RNAcentral.